GUCUUUUUGAUAAUAAUUUAAGGUCUAAUCUGCUCAAUGAGGUUUUAAAUAGCCGCAGUAUUUUGACUGUGCAAAGGUAGCGUGAUAAUUAGUUUCUUAAUUAGGAACUUGUAUGAAUGAUUUGACAAGAAAAUUUCUGUCUCUUUUUAAAUUUUUUAUGAAUUUAAUUUUUAAGUUAAAAGGCUUAAAUUUAUAUAAAAGACGAGAAGACCCCAUAGAGUUUUAUUUUUUGGUUAUUUUAGUAUAAUAUUUUUAUAUAAAAAAAAAUUAGUUGGGGUGACUAAAAGGUUUAAUAAACUCUUUUAAUUUAAAUCAUUGAUUUAUGAAUUUAAAAUCUAAUUUUAUUAAAUUUAAACAAAAUUACCUUGGGGAUAACAGCGUAAUUUCUUUUUAGAGUUCUUAUCAAAUAAGAAGAUUGCGACCUCGAUGUUGGAUUAAAAUUAAUUUUAGGUGUAGAAGCUUAAAUUUUAAGUCUGUUCGACUUUUAAAAUUUUACA
Molecule: ribosomal RNA, 497 nt
Filed under: Ellychnia sp. CO1059
Lineage: Eukaryota; Metazoa; Arthropoda; Insecta; Coleoptera; Lampyridae
Description: partial 16S ribosomal RNA
Rfam family: Bacterial large subunit ribosomal RNA (bases 371-497)
Source: RNAcentral